AGUUAAUUAUCAAAGAUGAAAUAUGUUUUGAAAACAUAAAUUAGAGGUUAAAAUCCUCUAUUAACUU
This 67-nucleotide transfer RNA is filed under the name Cyrtonotula longialata. RNAcentral describes it as "tRNA-Ser". It matches the Rfam family "tRNA". Rfam says of the family: Transfer RNA (tRNA) molecules are approximately 80 nucleotides in length. Lineage: Eukaryota; Metazoa; Arthropoda; Insecta; Blattodea; Blaberidae. The record is from RNAcentral.